This 152-nucleotide small nuclear RNA is filed under the name Suricata suricatta (meerkat). RNAcentral describes it as "U2 spliceosomal RNA (ENSSSUG00005010351.1)". It matches the Rfam family "U2 spliceosomal RNA". Rfam says of the family: U2 is a small nuclear RNA (snRNA) component of the spliceosome (involved in pre-mRNA splicing). Complementary binding between U2 snRNA (in an area lying towards the 5' end but 3' to hairpin I) and the branchpoint sequence (BPS) of the intron results the bulging out of an unpaired adenosine, on the BPS, which initiates a nucleophilic attack at the intronic 5' splice site, thus starting the first of two transesterification reactions that mediate splicing. The record is from RNAcentral. Lineage: Eukaryota; Metazoa; Chordata; Mammalia; Carnivora; Herpestidae.
AUUGCUUCUCGGCCUUUUGGCUAAGAUCAAGUGUAAAAUCACAUCCUUAUACCAGCAAAUCAAAUUCAACAGUAUAUUAAAAGAAUUAUUCACUACGAUCAAAUGGGAUUCAUUCCAAGGCUGCAGGGCUGGUUCAAUAUUUGCAAAUCAAU